Carassius carassius (crucian carp) is the source of this 806-nucleotide long non-coding RNA. RefSeq lists it as uncharacterized. NCBI's taxonomy places the organism in Eukaryota, Metazoa, Chordata, Actinopteri, Cypriniformes, Cyprinidae. The record is from RefSeq and is a predicted model, not a curated record. The transcript has 2 exons.
UCUGAAAAAGAAAAUGACACACAUAUUACAAUCACUGCUUUACGUAGAAACGUAUUGUCCCAUUGCUUUUUUAAUUGUAUACUUUUCAGAUUGACAUCUAUUCUGUCUGACUGUGCAUCUGUACUUAUAAGUUCAGAGCUUGUGUUGAUCCCUGAAAACAGCAGUUGUCCUCCAGUGGGGUUGAUGGUCAAGGGUCAGCAGCUUGAGGUCAGCGGGAUGGAACAGGAGUGGAGUGACCACACUGGGGUACAAAUGAUCUCCUGUGUCUCUCGUUCCUGUGUUUGACUCACACAGAUUCACACAUGCACUGAACAGGGUUUGCCCCAGCUGCUCCUCUGUGGGGAUUUUAAGAGAUCCACAUGCAAAAAGCACAACUCACCACAGGGUCUACAAGCCUCCGGGACGUGAUCUGCUGUGUCUGAUCUGAUUUUGAGCUGGAAUUUCCCACUGAUUCAGUGCUUAUGGACAGAUGUUGGUGGAACUGGUUAACAAUUGAACUAGUCUGGAGGUAGAGAAUGAAGAUGGAACCUCUGUGAAGUUCUGCUUUGGACAGAAAAGAGUCUUAAAAGUGUUAAAGAAUAGUAAAUUGCACAAACACAGAAGAAAUGGUGUUUUUAACAUGAUGGAUUGUAUUCUUCUGAAAGCAAUGAUCCUGUUGUAUUUAGGUGAUAUUUUUAUCCCCCAACGGAAAUGUCUUUUUUUAAUGACUUUUAAAUAGAGUUGAGAUUGUUGUUAUGCAGAUAUUUAAUAUGCCUUUUAAUUUAUUGUUAAUAAAUGAAAAUUUUGUCACCUACAGUGGUUGUUAA